RNAcentral lists this unclassified non-coding RNA (1236 nucleotides) under Hevea brasiliensis (rubber tree). The record is from RNAcentral. Lineage: Eukaryota; Viridiplantae; Streptophyta; Magnoliopsida; Malpighiales; Euphorbiaceae.
UGGUGUACAUAUAUCAAAGGUAAGAUCCUUGGCACUUGAUGUUAAAGUGUGGGAGCCUUCUGUCAUAAUCUUAUUCCAAGCACUUGGUAAUGUGUUUGUGAAUUCUAUUUGGGAGGGUUUGUUGCAUCCAAGAAGAAAUUUCCAGGCAGAUGAAAUACCGAUGCGGUCUUUGGAGUCCCAUAAGCACAAGCAGUUUUCUUGCAAACCGAGUGAGGAUGAUCAUAUUUCAGUGAAGGAGAAGUUUAUCCAUGGAAAGUAUGCAGAAAAAAAAUUUGUUCACAAAGUGGAAGACGGUGAGCAUCUGCUUUCUGUUGCACAACAGCUAUGGGAAGGUGUGCGUAAAAAUGACAAGAAAACUGUAUACCGUCUCAUUGUUGUUUAUCAAGCAGAUGUUAAUGCAGUUCACGGGCAAGCAUCACUUGGCAGUGAUUGUGCGAACUCUUUGAACCCACGAGGUGGAAGUGCAGACCUUUCCUCUGAUGGAUUUUUUGAUGGCUGUUCCCUGCUUCACCUAGCCUGCCAAACUGCUGAUAUUGGCAUGGUGGAGCUGCUUCUGCAGCAUGGCGCUAACAUAAAUGCUUGUGAUUUGCGUGGUCAGAUCCCACUGCAUCAUAGUUUCUUAAGAGGAAGAACUGAAAUUGCCAAACUAUUACUUUCAAGGGGGGCCAAUCCACAAGCUGUCGAUAAGGAAGGCAAGACUCCUUUCCACCUUGUCCAGGAAUCAGCUCUCGAUGAUGUGGAGAUCAUUGCCCUGCUGAAAGUUGCCAUAGGAUAGCACCACAACAAAGAUCAAACUGAGGUAGACAACUUAGUAUUGCAUCCCAGUAAAAAUAUUUUAUCUUCAAGAACGAAGUUUGGAGUUAUACGGAAGUGCUAAAGCUUGCUCAAAUCCUUAGCUUCAUUCUCCCAGCAGAAAUUCUGUUAAGGCUUUUGAAAUGAAAGAUCCAGAGAAGUGCUUUUUCUCCGCGAAUCUCAGAGAUGUUGAAAGUAGGCAGUGGAGCAGUUGUACAUGUAUUUUGAAUUGACUGUGAAACAGAAUUAGCUAAGUAGAACUAUAUUUAAGUGGGAAAUUGGCUCAGUGAUGAAGCUGAAAGAAAUUGGGGAGACGUGAUGAAUGAGGCUAUUUAUUAUGGUUUCAUUUUAGAGGAGUAAGAAAGAAUGUUUAUCACCAAUAGGCAAUAUAUAGAUUUCUUGUAUUUGAAAACUAUUUGUAUUGCAAUAAGAAUUGUAAAUAUA